UUACAGAAACCCGUAGAUCCGAACUUGUGCUGAAUCUUAAAGAUUUUUUAUUUUGAAUUUUCGACGACAUCUGAUUGAAGACACAAGCACGAAUUUACGGGAAUCUGUCGA
RNAcentral lists this microRNA precursor (111 nucleotides) under Clunio marinus. Its description in RNAcentral is "mir-10 microRNA precursor family". It matches the Rfam family "mir-10 microRNA precursor family". From Rfam's summary of the family: In this case the mature sequence comes from the 5' arm of the precursor. The extents of the hairpin precursors are not generally known and are estimated based on hairpin prediction. The record is from Rfam by way of RNAcentral. Lineage: Eukaryota; Metazoa; Arthropoda; Insecta; Diptera; Chironomidae.